AUACGGAGGGGGUUAGCGUUGUUCGGAAUUACUGGGCGUAAAGCGCACGUAGGCGGACUGGAAAGUUGGGGGUGAAAUCCCGGGGCUCAACCCCGGAACUGCCUCCAAAACUUCCAAUCUAGAGAUCGAGAGUGGUAAGUGGAAUUCCGAGUGUAGAGGUGAAAUUCGUAGAUAUUCGGAGGAACACCAGUGGCGAAGGCGGCUCACUGGCUCGAUACUGACGCUGAGGUGCGAAAGCGUGGGGAGCAAACAGGAUUAGAAACCCCAGUAGUCC
RNAcentral lists this ribosomal RNA (274 nucleotides) under uncultured bacterium. RNAcentral's name for it is "partial 16S ribosomal RNA". It matches the Rfam family "Bacterial small subunit ribosomal RNA", at positions 523 to 796 of the family's 1533-position model. The record is from RNAcentral.